This 69-nucleotide transfer RNA is filed under the name Vampyroteuthis infernalis. Its description in RNAcentral is "tRNA-Phe". Lineage: Eukaryota; Metazoa; Mollusca; Cephalopoda; Vampyromorpha; Vampyroteuthidae. The record is from RNAcentral.
AUCUAAGUAGCUUAAAUAGAGCGUAACGUUGAAGGUGUUAAGGUAAUUAAAAAUAAUAAUUUAUAGAUA